CUCUUCAAAAAAGAACUUGAUGCUUCCUUUUGUUCAGAACUCUAAAUUAAAUUACAUUCUGAUUAUAAAACCCGGCGAACAAAACAAAUUAUCAGGUGGAAUUAUCAUCUCUGUUUUGCGGCUUUAUUGCAUAUAUUUUAUCCACCGAUUCGGAGAGCAACUCCCGCAGCAACUCAUUUAAGCAGUCCACCUCUUGUGAUUCGUCAACAGGAACAACCAAUCAGAGACCAGCUCGGUUCCGCAACAGAGACAGCAUCAAGGUCACCCGCAAGAGGUUCACCGCCUCCGCCCACUGUUCGUACGACUCCAACAAUGAGUCAUCGGCAGGGUCCAACUCCGAGCUCCACUCGCUCUCUCAGUCGGCCGUCGAUUCGGCUCUCGCGUCCAUUGCGAACGAAGGGGGAGGGGAAGUCCGAAGAGGCAGCAUCGGAAUCUCAAAACUGAAGGCUAUGUCGGAGGACUCCAUGAAAAUGUUGCCGGAAAUAUUCUCGGAAGAAUUGGAUCUGAAAGACAUCAAACCGUUCGAUCCCCGAAAGGAGCCACGGAAGAGUAUUUUGAAGAAGAAAUCUGACUUGGCGUCAAAAAUGAUUUCCUGCGAAAAUAUACCACAAGAAUCAACUCUAAGCGACCAACCAAGUUCGAAGGACGAAGCAUGAACAAUGCGCUUGAUGGUGAUAUUAGCAACUAUGAUCUUAUAAUUUCCAAAAAAAGCUGGCGUCUAAUCGUAACUUUUAAUUAAUUUUGGAUUCGUUCAGCAUUUAUUUUGUAGCAAAAUAAAUUCAUUUUGGAUAAAUAAGAGUUAUAUAUGUAGUAUAUAACAAAUGUAAAGUUUUGUUACGUUAAACUUUCUGGCGGCUAAAAUCUUCUUUCAAUUU
Symsagittifera roscoffensis is the source of this 875-nucleotide long non-coding RNA. RefSeq lists it as uncharacterized. NCBI's taxonomy places the organism in Eukaryota, Metazoa, Xenacoelomorpha, Acoela, Convolutidae. The record is from RefSeq and is a predicted model, not a curated record. The transcript has 4 exons.